CCUACGGGAGGCAGCAGUGGGGAAUAUUGCACAAUGGGGGAAACCCUGAUGCAGCGACGCCGCGUGAGCGAAGAAGUAUUUCGGUAUGUAAAGUCCUAUCAGUAAGGAAGAUAAUGACGGUAUUUAACUAAGAAGCUCCGGCUAACUACGUGCCAGCAGCCGCGGUAAUACGUAUGGUGCAAGCGUUACCCGGAAUCACUGGGCGUAAAGGGCGCGUAGGCGGGAUGGCAAGUCAGAUGUGAAAGCCUGGGGCUUAACCAUAGAACUGCAUUGGAAACUGUCGUGCUAGAGUAUGGGAGAGGUAGGUGGAAUUCUUGGUGUAGGGGUAAAAUCCGUAGAGAUAAAGAGGAAUACUCAUUGCGAAGGCGACUUGCUAGAACAUAACUGACGCUGAUGCGCGAAAGCGUGGGGAGCAAACAGGAUUAGAUACCCGUGUAGUC
This 440-nucleotide ribosomal RNA is filed under the name uncultured bacterium. RNAcentral's name for it is "partial 16S ribosomal RNA". It matches the Rfam family "Bacterial small subunit ribosomal RNA", at positions 338 to 795 of the family's 1533-position model. The record is from RNAcentral.